UCUCUAGAAGCUUGCAACAGCAAUGAAUUUUUACUUCAUUAACAGGAUAAGUUUAAUCUCCCUAGAGAA
RNAcentral lists this transfer RNA (69 nucleotides) under Perinereis cultrifera. Its description in RNAcentral is "tRNA-Lys". Lineage: Eukaryota; Metazoa; Annelida; Polychaeta; Phyllodocida; Nereididae. The record is from RNAcentral.